UACAGAGGUGGCAAGCGUUGUUCGGAAUUACUGGGCGUAAAGGGCGCGUAGGCGGUCUUGUAAGUCUCGUGUGAAAUCCCUCGGCUUAACUGAGGAACUGCACGGGAUACUGCUUGACUUGAGUUCGGGAGAGGGAAGCGGAAUUCCGGGUGUAGCGGUGAAAUGCGUAGAUAUCGAGAGGAACACCGGUGGCGAAGGCGGCGAUCUGGACGAUGACUGACGCUGAGACGCGAAAGCGUGGGGAGCAAACAGG
This 253-nucleotide ribosomal RNA is filed under the name uncultured bacterium. RNAcentral's name for it is "partial 16S ribosomal RNA". It matches the Rfam family "Bacterial small subunit ribosomal RNA", at positions 524 to 776 of the family's 1533-position model. The record is from RNAcentral.